GCCAGCAUGGUCUAGUGGUUUGAAUGCCGGACUACGACUCUGGAGGUCAGGGUUCAAUUCCCCGCUCAGCCA
Phrynosoma platyrhinos (Desert horned lizard) is the source of this 72-nucleotide non-coding RNA. NCBI's taxonomy places the organism in Eukaryota, Metazoa, Chordata, Lepidosauria, Squamata, Phrynosomatidae. The record is from the annotation of a GenBank genome assembly.